UUUUGCAUUGGCUUUACGCGCCAUAAUGCCGUUGCCGACCGCGUGCAAUAAGUGGGUUUUACCCAAGCCGGUGCCGCCAUA
Molecule: antisense RNA, 81 nt
Filed under: Rahnella inusitata
Lineage: Bacteria; Pseudomonadati; Pseudomonadota; Gammaproteobacteria; Enterobacterales; Yersiniaceae
Description: antisense RNA of dnaA mRNA
Rfam family: antisense RNA of dnaA mRNA
Source: RNAcentral